ACUCCUACGGGAGGCAGCAGUGGGGAAUAUUGCACAAUGGGCGCAAGCCUGAUGCAGCCAUGCCGCGUGUAUGAAGAAGGCCUUCGGGUUGUAAAGUACUUUCAGCAGUGAGGAAGGUGGGGUAGUGUUAAUAGCAUACUCAUUUGUACGUUAGCUGCAGAAGAAGCACCGGCUAACUCCGUGCCAGCAGCCGCGGUAAGUACGGAGGGUGCGAGCGUUAAUCGGUAAUUACUGGGCGUAAGAGCAUGCAGGUGGUUUGUUAAGUUCAGAUGUGAAAGCCCGGGGCUCAACCUCGGAAUUGCAUUUGAAACUGGCAAACUAGAGUACUGUAGAGGGGGUAGGAAUUUCAGGUGUAGCGGUGAAAUGCGUAG
RNAcentral lists this ribosomal RNA (371 nucleotides) under uncultured bacterium. Its description in RNAcentral is "bacterial SSU rRNA". It matches the Rfam family "Bacterial small subunit ribosomal RNA", at positions 335 to 693 of the family's 1533-position model. The record is from RNAcentral.